GCUCUGAUACCACUAUGUAACACCCCAAUUUUCAUAAACUUUUCAAUCUAAAAACUUUGAAGAACUAAUAGUUAAAAUAAAAUUUCUUGAAUUAUAAAAGUUUAAACCAAUUUAAAAUUUACUUGCCAAAACUAAAGUAGUAACAUGAAAUAAAAAAAAUAAAACGAUAAACUAAAACUUAACAAAUUCUACUAAAAUGUUCAAUAUAAAAUCC
RNAcentral lists this long non-coding RNA (214 nucleotides) under Salvia miltiorrhiza (redroot sage). RNAcentral's name for it is "long non-coding RNA (SMIL_LNC002912)". The record is from RNAcentral. Lineage: Eukaryota; Viridiplantae; Streptophyta; Magnoliopsida; Lamiales; Lamiaceae.